CGCGGCCUAUCAGCUUGUUGGUGAGGUAACGGCUCACCAAGGCAACGACGGGUAGCUGGUCUGAGAGGACGAUCAGCCACACUGGGACUGAGACACGGCCCAGACUCCUACGGGAGGCAGCAGCAGGGAAUAUUGCACAAUGGGCGAAAGCCUGAUGCAGCGACGCCGCGUGGGGGAUGAAGGCCUUCGGGUUGUAAACCCCUUUCAGGAGGGACGAAGCGAAAGUGACGGUACCUCCAGAAGAAGCCCCGGCCAACUACGUGCCGGCAGCCGCGGUAAUACGUAGGGGGCGAGCGUUGUCCGGAUUUAUUGGGCGUAAAGAGCUCGUAGGCGGCUCAACAAGUCGGCCGUGAAAGCCCGAGGCUUAACCUCGGGACGCCGGUCGAAACUGUUGUGGCUAGGGUCCGGUAGAGGAGAGUGGAAUUCCCGGUGUGGGGGGGGAAAUGCGCAGAUAUCGGGGGGAACACCAGUAGCGAAGGCGGCUCUCUGGGCCGGCACCGACGCUGAGGAGCGAAAGCUAGGGGAGCAAACAGGAUUAGAUACCCUGGUAGUCCACGCCGUAAACGUUGGGUACUAGGUGUGGCGGGUUCAUCAAUGCCCGCCGUACCGAAGCUAACGCAUUAAGUACCCCGCCUGGGGAGUACGG
RNAcentral lists this ribosomal RNA (646 nucleotides) under uncultured bacterium. RNAcentral's name for it is "bacterial SSU rRNA". It matches the Rfam family "Bacterial small subunit ribosomal RNA", at positions 232 to 885 of the family's 1533-position model. The record is from RNAcentral.